UGGCGGCGAGUGGCGAACGGGUGAGUAAUACAUCGGAACGUGCCCAAUCGUGGGGGAUAACGCAGCGAAAGCUGUGCUAAUACCGCAUACGAUCUACGGAUGAAAGCAGGGGAUCGCAAGACCUUGCGCGAAUGGAGCGGCCGAUGGCAGAUUAGGUAGUUGGUGAGGUAAAGGCUCACCAAGCCUUCGAUCUGUAGCUGGUCUGAGAGGACGACCAGCCACACUGGGACUGAGACACGGCCCAGACUCCUACGGGAGGCAGCAGUGGGGAAUUUUGGACAAUGGGCGAAAGCCUGAUCCAGCCAUGCCGCGUGCAUGAUGAAGGCCUUCAGGUUGUAAACUGCUUUUGUACGGAACGAAACGGCCUUUUCUAAUAAAGAGGGCUAAUGACGGUACCGGCAGAAUAAGCACCGGCUAACUACGUGCCAGCAGCCGCGGUAAUACGUAGGGUGCAAGCGUUAAUCGGAAUUACUGGGCGUAAAGCGUGCGCAGGCGGUAAUGUAAGACAGAUGUGAAAUCCCCGGGCUCAACCUGGGAACU
This 540-nucleotide ribosomal RNA is filed under the name Variovorax paradoxus. RNAcentral describes it as "bacterial SSU rRNA". It matches the Rfam family "Bacterial small subunit ribosomal RNA", at positions 86 to 622 of the family's 1533-position model. The record is from RNAcentral. Lineage: Bacteria; Pseudomonadati; Pseudomonadota; Betaproteobacteria; Burkholderiales; Comamonadaceae.